Molecule: long non-coding RNA, 541 nt
Organism: Myzus persicae (green peach aphid)
Lineage: Eukaryota; Metazoa; Arthropoda; Insecta; Hemiptera; Aphididae
Exons: 2
Source: RefSeq, a predicted model, not a curated record
GCACAGUGCUGACAACGUAACUGACGCCGACGCCGUGUUCAGCCAAUCGACGUGCUCGAUUACCGGUAUAUACUUAAUAAUCUUAACAGUGCUUACCACACCCAUACGCCAAAGCAGGCUGUACACCGGCACACCGCCGGCUUCCUCACAGUGUUGAAGUGAUCAUGCGUCUACAUGGGGACGAGCUGAUAGAGUGAUGCCGAGUGAGAGAGAAAACCACUGCAAUGUCGACGCACACUCCCACUGCGCAGCUGUAGCGGUGGCGGCAAAAUGAAACCGAACACGAUAGAUAUUUACCGCCACCGAAGCGCACCGCCAUGUUGAAACGUUUAAAACGCACAAAAAAUAUACUGAAGUUGAAAAUCGAAGCAUUACUUCAUUUACUUCGAUUCCUUUCGUCAACACUGACGCAGAAAAAUAUUUUUUUAAAAAAACACACUACGUAAAUACAUAAUCAAUGUCAAUAUUCAUCAUCUCUCCUCGCCAAAUUGUAUGCAUUUUGUCAAUAUUUAAACAUUAAAUGCUUAUAAGAAAAUUGUGA